AAAGCACGUAUAUCCAACAUAAAGUUUUGGCAUUUCUUUGUAAGCUUGUGUAGCAGCAAAACAAGGACAUCAAAAGGAAACAAGUGAAAUCUCACACCAAUCGCAACUAAUUAAGGUUAUCAAGCAAACUCGUGCAAAAAAAAUAAAGGUCAUCUACAAAGUGACACAAAAGCACAGCAUAAAUUCUAUGAUGGUUAAAUAUAAUACACACAAAAACAAACAUAUAUACAGUUGAGAAGGGGGAGGAAACCAUGAAUUGAAGCUUGGUUGGACCUAAGAGAAAAGCAGAAAAUCAAUUGCCAAUAUCUGACCUGCAAUACUGUGUGCAGUUCCAACCAGCAGUAGCACCUGCCAAGAAAAAUCAGUAAUUUUGUCACAAUCAUUGUUACAAAGAGAGCCCUAAAUAUUGUAGCCGUAACGACAUUAUAACAAGUUGCUCAAUAUUUUUUAUUUAUAACAAGUUGUUCAAUACAUAACUUGCAUAUUGACAUUUGGUUGAUCAAUGGCUAUACAGCUCUCAGAGCAUUAAAAACAGCUUUUAAUUGACAAAAUGAAAUUUCCACAUCAGACAUACAUUUUAAUUGUUAAACAGAACCAACUAGUUCCAGUUUAAAAUUAUGGAAUAUUGCCUCUUAUUAUUUGUUAUUGUAUUUGGCGGUAAACUUAUCAUUGUUGUUCUAUUAGAACUAAGAAUACCUGCCUGUCAAUUAAUCCCGACAAUCAUUCACAAGCAAUCUUGGUGUCAAAGCUGCUAAGGCAUAUUGCAAAUGCUUCGAAGGCAGAGAGUGGAUACUGGUAAUCCAUGGUGAAUACGUCCUUUCCAACUUUUCCAAACUGUAGAAUAACAGUUUCUUGAGCCUGCUCAGAAACCCCAUUUUUAGGAGAUGCAACCAGCUGAAAAUUUUUCACUGAAGCAACUGUUACUCGUCCAUUGAAGUUCAGACACCAGCAUUGGAGUUGUUCAUGCCACCGAGGAGACUUGUUCCGUAAUACUAGUGUUCCCUCAUUUUGAGAAGUCAAAGGCAAUGAUUGGAGAUUUUCCAUGCGGGUUGAUUUUGAUCUAAAGAAAGGGAUAGAUGGAGAAGUAUCAAUUCUGCUAUGGAGAAAUUGAGUCUGUGUAGGGGCUACACCUCCGGGUUCAACAGCUGAAGCAGGGAUGGCAUCCAUAACGCAUUGCAUUAUCCUGGGGCCUCUGAUAACAUUUUCGUAAAGGAAAGUGAGGAUUAAUCAAUAACAGAAAAAAGUCACCAAUGAUUUUCAUUACUGAUUCCCAUCCCACAUAAUUCUCUUUACCCAAAAGAGAGAUUUUUUUCAUAACAAUACCUGGAACCCAAAACAUUCAGAUCAUAUGAUACACGUGCAACAGGAUAGUUUUCAGCAGGAACUCUCGGAGAGACUUGCUUGGAACUAACUAGCCUGGUGGAACGAGACUUUGCAACUUUGGCUCCACAAAUAGGAGGAUGUGCAUCAUACACUGUGAAUUUGGUACCCAGAAAGUUGGAUCUAUUCAAAAGAGAAAAUGAGAGUAAUUUUAGGACUAGAAAAUUAUGAUUAACAAGUCAUGUUAAAUAUCAGCUAAAAUACCUCAACUUCCCAAUAUAGGUGUUGCUGCCUCUUGAUACAUCAUCGUAGUUUAGAGAGAUGAUAUAGUCUGUGUGAGUUGCACGCCGACACUUGCGUGCAGCAAGAAGGAACUUGCCAUCAUCAGUUGAGGCUACCAAAUUAUAUAAAUCAACAUCAUGAACACAUCAAAGGAUAUAGAGGAAAAGAAAAAUGGAAAUCUUCUUAAAUAUUAAAUAUUACAAGAUACAAGGAAAAAAGGAUGACUACUAAUUCAACAUGUGUCACAGAGUUUAGAAAGCAUUUUACCACACAGAUUAAACGUAAAUGUUUGAUAGCGCUCAACCGCUCACCUUGGUUUAAACUAAGGAACAGAUAAUAUAUUUGAUUACUGCGGUUUCGUUUAAUGUAGCACUGAAUAAGAGAGCCCCUUGGACCAGGCUGCAUGAUGAUAAUAAGAGCUUUAGAAUUUACAAUACUAGGAACAAGAAACAAUUAAAGCUUAACAAUAAAAUGUGGGAUAGUUAACAUUAGUCACGCAGCUCACGCUGUUGGAAUGGCUUUAUUUGUUGCACAAUAAACACACAUGGAAUACUUUUAAUUGGAGUGCAUGCAAAGCAACUUAAAACAAAUUCACACCAGAAAACAAUAUAAUACUGAAUAAUACUAAUUCUUCCAUGCUAUUAAUAAUAGGGUAUACAGUCAACACUUGUCUGGUUUCAAUGUCGAUCUGCUUCUUCACUAGCUAUGUGUUACUGGUUAGGCAAAGAGGGGUGCGCUAAUAGUAUACUACCACUCUUUUCGCGUAACAGACAUGAACGCGAUGAAUCACCAGGACUCUAAUUAAAGGAGACUUGGAUACAUUAAAAUUUUAUAACUGACAAUUGAACAACUUCAAUUGCAAACCUAAUCCAAUUUCAACAAUGUUUCUUACACACACUAUUUCAAAGUGAGGAAUGGGUUCGGAAUUCAAUUCGCUACACACCUAGUCACUAAACCAUGCCUUCACAACAAACAAAGUUUUUACUGAUUGUAGUUCCUUCAGUUAGUCAUCAUCAAGUGACACUAUAUAAAACUAAACUAAUUGAUCUAAAAUUGAAUUUAACAACAAAAUUCCUUGCAAUGAAUUAACAAAUUCAAAUGGGUCCGAACUUUUUAUCUAACUAAUUUUGUAUCAAAAUUGGAUUGAUUAUGUUCGAUUCGGAUAGUCGAACUGGUUAGACAACCCAAAUCAUUCAAAAAAUAUUUAUAAAAAAACAACCAAAACAAUAUGAUUUUGAGAUGAAAAAACUUUUAAUUUAUUUGUAAUUAUAUUUUUUGUUUGUUAACCUAUAUUAUAGAAGAACUUUCGUUGUUUAAUUAAAUUUUAAAUUUAUAUGUACUAUUGUUACAAUUAAAACAUAAAGAUAUGUUGUUUAAUGAUGUUCUCAACUUGUUUGUAACAUUUUAUAAUAGUAAAAAUUCUUUGUUGAUUAUUUCAUUCAGUAUGGAAAUAUUUUAAAUUUGAAAUAUAAAGUUAUUAAAUAAUGUUAGCUAAUAUAAUGAAUGUUUUAGAAUUUUUAAUGUAAACUGAGUCAACUAAUGCAAUCAUUAUCUCACUGAUGCAACAAAUGACUAAUUGACUCAAUGCUCUGACUAAGUCAUUGACCAGUUUGAGUCUAAUAAUAUUGUUACAAAUUUACAAUUGGAUAUGAAUAUUAUCUCACUCCACUUAUCACUUAUUGUAAUUGAUCAAAAAAUAUUUAAUAAUUAAACUUUAACUUUUUUCCAAAGAUAAUUAAAAUUUAACUUAAAUAUAUUUUUUAAUAAAUUACAAUAAAUAAAAAUGACACAUGUAUUACAUAUAAUGAUAUGAGAAUGUGAAUAAGUGAGGUAUUGUCUAUCUAUCUAUUACCUACCCAACAAAAAAAGGUGUCAAUCUCUCAAGUCCCCUUAUGACAUGUGUCAAUCUUUCAUUCAAAAUUUUCCAUCCAAAACAUGUCUAUGUUAAUCAUAUGUACCUUUCAACAUUGUAUCUUCCCCUUUUGUAAAUUGUACAUUUUAAUUCUAAUGAUUAAUGAACCAUUUGUUUUUUAUUUUAUGAAGAAAUUACAUCUCACAAUAAAGGGGAUUGAAUCUCUUUUCACAUGUGAAUUACUUCUCCAUCCAUUAUCAUUUCAUGUCUCCAUCUUCUUCUUCCCCUUUCUUUUCAUAUUUCUCUCUUCUUCCAUCUCAUAUUUACAAUCCAAUGUUUCAUUCGUCAAUAUUCACAAGCCUAAGAUAUAGAUUCAUGUCAUUAAAUAGAUAUCAUCUUAGUACGGGCGGACGAGAGUUGUUAAUGUAUUCCUUAAAAUGUAAUAUUCUAAAACUUCGAAAUCCAAUUCAAAUGUCAUAUUUUCUAAAAUUGGGUAUACACAAGGUUCCUUUUCAUUUCCAUCACCUCCUCCUACUCUUGGAAGGUUAGAGGUUGGGCGUGACAAUGCUAAAUAGAGAAAGAGCAAAAAUACAUGGACAAAUGUGAAGUUGUAUAUGAUAAUUAUGCAACUCUUAUUCUCUAAACUAGGUUCUUUGGUGCUUUGUAGUAUGUGUCAAGUGGAGGAUAUGAUCUAUUAAUUUAUCCUUCUAGACCGAGUUAGCAUUUAAUUAUCAACUAAUCUUAAUCGUGUGAAUGGCAUAUGAUUACAUAUACUCAAAUGUUCAGAAGAGAAUAUUGAUGUGUAUCGUGGCCUUUUUUACCAGAUUUGAAUAGAAUUAUCUUUAGUUUUGCUAACCUAGGUAAAAAUGAUUUUUAGUUGGAAUAAGUUAGUAUUAUGCACCAACAUUUUUGGACAAAAUUAAUCCUCAUAUUUUAAUUGUAAUAGAUUUAGUAAAAGAGUUAGUAAUAAGGAUAGUUUCAUAAUUUCCAUUUAAAACAAAUUACCCCUCAUCCCUAACCUGCUUUCUCCUCACCCAUUAACAUGGUUAUCUCAAAACACCAAAAACGCCUCCACCACCAGAGCCGCUGCACACCAACUGUCAGUAUUGUGCCCCAUCCCGAACUCACACCGUCGCACCACCUAAUACUUCCCCACAUUGUUUCUUAAAGUGAUGAAACGAUGCUAUAUUUAAGUUGUGCAUUUGCCAUUUUUUGUGCAGGUGGAUCUUGUCCUUAUGAAGAAAAUGCCAAUAUGUCAUCAUGGAUUAUUUCAAUCUCUGUGUGAAGGGGAUGUUGGUCUGACAACAAUGCAACGGUUCUGGUGGUGGAAGGGUUAUCUGUGUUUCAGGGUUAAGAAACAACAUGUGACAGUCAUGGACGAUGUAGUGGCGUGGGCUUGGGGUGGGAUGUGAUGCCAACAGUUGGUAUAUGGUAGCCGCCAAUGGAGGUUUUUUUGCGUUUUGGGACAAUUAGGUAAACGGGAGAAGGGAAGAAGGUUAGGGAUGAGGGGUAAUUUUUUGAAAUGGAAAUUAUAAAACUAUCCUUAUUACUAAAUUCAUUGCAAUUUGAAUAGAAGGGUUAAUUUUGUCCAAAAAUUUUCUUGCACAAUGCUAACAUACUCCAACUGAAAAUUCUCUUUACCUAGAUUAGCAAAACCCUUAUUUUUAUUAUGAAUUUUUGUCAUUAAAUAAAUAAAUAUAUAUAUAUAUACUAUUAAUAAAUAUAUACUAAGCCAAAACAAGUAGUAACCACCAUGUAUGUCAUAAUUUUUAAAUUUCAUUUUAUCCUUUUCAACCUCCCUCCUUAAUAAAUGGAAACUUUUACAUUUUGCUUUCAUUUUUUCAUUAAUACAUUAUUACUCAUCCAUACGUUCUUUUCUCUCUUUCUCAACCAAAAAUAAAACAAUAACACAUGAAAAAUAUAUCCAACAACUUAAUAAUGAUUAUUAGAUACACAAAAUGAGAAAUUUAUAGAAGUUUUGUGUAUACCGUAUCAAUUAUUACACAAGUAUACUCUUAAAUUUACAUUUUUAUUAAGUGUCGGCCGACACGCUAGUAUAAAUAAUAGACACACAAGUAUAUUAACGGUUCAAAAAUUAUUGUAAAUUCAAACAGCCGCGGAAUACCACUGGUAUACUCAAAUUAAAAGAAAGCACGUAUAUCCAACAUAAAGUUUUGGCAUUUCUUUGUAAGCUUGUGUAGCAGCAAAACAAGGACAUCAAAAGGAAACAAGUGAAAUCUCACACCAAUCGCAACUAAUUAAGGUUAUCAAGCAAACUCGUGCAAAAAAAAUAAAGGUCAUCUACAAAGUGACACAAAAGCACAGCAUAAAUUCUAUGAUGGUUAAAUAUAAUACACACAAAAACAAAC
This 5823-nucleotide long non-coding RNA is filed under the name Lupinus angustifolius (narrow-leaved blue lupine). RNAcentral's name for it is "long non-coding RNA (LANG_LNC000719)". Lineage: Eukaryota; Viridiplantae; Streptophyta; Magnoliopsida; Fabales; Fabaceae. The record is from RNAcentral.